RNAcentral lists this ribosomal RNA (68 nucleotides) under Pseudomonas aeruginosa. RNAcentral describes it as "partial 16S ribosomal RNA". It matches the Rfam family "Bacterial small subunit ribosomal RNA", at positions 1466 to 1533 of the family's 1533-position model. The record is from RNAcentral. Lineage: Bacteria; Pseudomonadati; Pseudomonadota; Gammaproteobacteria; Pseudomonadales; Pseudomonadaceae. RNAcentral also lists the same sequence under 44 other names.
GAUUCAUGACUGGGGUGAAGUCGUAACAAGGUAACCGUAGGGGAACCUGCGGUUGGAUCACCUCCUUA